This 320-nucleotide ribosomal RNA is filed under the name uncultured eukaryote. RNAcentral describes it as "partial 18S ribosomal RNA". It matches the Rfam family "Eukaryotic small subunit ribosomal RNA", at positions 1470 to 1796 of the family's 1831-position model. The record is from RNAcentral.
CCCUUAGAUGUCCUGGGCCGCACGCGUGCUACACUGAUGCAUACAGCAAGUAUUUUCCAGCUCCGCGAGGCUGCUGGUAAUCAUGAAUAUGCAUCGUGCUGGGGAUAGAUCUUUGGAAUUAUAGAUCUUGAACGAGGAAUUCCUAGUAGGCGCAAGUCAUCAGCUUGCAUUGAUUACGUCCCUGCCCUUUGUACACACCGCCCGUCGCACCUACCGAUUGAAUGGUCCGGUGAAAUCUCGGGACGGCGGCUUGGUCGCUUGCGUCCGACUGCUGAAACUUGAUUAAACCAUAUCAUUUAGAGGAAGGUGAAGUCGUAACA